GUGCCAGCAGCCGCGGUAAUACCGGCAGCCCGAGUGAUGACCGCUAUUAUUGGGCCUAAAGCGUCCGUAGCUGGCCGAUCAAGUCCGUCGGGAAAUCCGCACGCUUAACGUGCGGGCGUCCGGCGGAAACUGUUCGGCUUGGGACCGGAAGGCUCGAAGGGUACGUUCGGGGUAGGAGUGAAAUCCCAUAAUCCCGCACGGACCACCGAUGGCGAAAGCACUUCGAGAAAACGGAUCCGACAGUGAGGGACGAAAGCCAGGGUCUCCAACCGGAUUAGAAACCCCAGUAGUCC
RNAcentral lists this ribosomal RNA (293 nucleotides) under uncultured bacterium. RNAcentral describes it as "partial 16S ribosomal RNA". It matches the Rfam family "Archaeal small subunit ribosomal RNA", at positions 455 to 747 of the family's 1478-position model. The record is from RNAcentral.